This is a long non-coding RNA of Ailuropoda melanoleuca (giant panda), 1190 nucleotides long. RefSeq lists it as uncharacterized. Lineage: Eukaryota; Metazoa; Chordata; Mammalia; Carnivora; Ursidae. The transcript has 4 exons. The record is from RefSeq and is a predicted model, not a curated record.
GCGCUGGGAGGAGAGCAAAGGGGCGGAAGUCACGGAGGGUGGUGUCCCUCCGCGGCUGGGCGCGCGUUCGCGCUGGUUGUCUUUUCUCGUUUCGUCAGCUCUUCAGGUGUGUUCAGAAAGUGUUCGCUAGCGCCACUGUGACCCCGACAAAUAUCCACGACUCCUGCUGUUAUGGGGUUUACCGAGGGGUGGAGGCAGGCAGACAUUAAUCAGGAGGGGGAGGGUCCCCGCAGGCCAGCUCCUUGCUCACCUCUCACCCCCAGAGGCAUCCGGAGGCCUCUCCCUGAGCCCCAGCACAGAGCCCAACGUGCAGCGAGGCAGCUCUGAGCAGCACAGGUUGGACCUGAAGCUAAAGCACUCUUCUAAGGCUAGAUUAACACAUGAAAGUGGAGAAAUUCUUUGAGAAAGAAACUCAUUUGUUUCAAAAGAAAGAACGUGGGGUACAGCUCAGCGGUUCAUGCUCUGAACUGGUGACACCAAAGAGCAAAGCAGUGGCUCUGGUACAAACUCCUGUUCUGUAAAGCUUUGCCCAAGAGCAGUACAAGCAUUGUGGCAGCAGCACAGACACUUUAGAAAUUCAACAGAAGAAUCAUCUUUCUAGUACGAAAAAAAAAAAAAGUAGAAGGAGCCCAGCAUAACCAGGACUGCCAAGAGGAGAGAGUCAGAGAAGGCAGAAACUUUAAAUUCUGUGUGUAGACUCAGCUCAGAUCUCCAGCAGACCCCCGAACCAUGCAUGUGCUGGGCUAACUGGAAGUUUGCAGCCAAGGCUUCAAGAACUGAACUGAGACCUGAGCCAUCACCCACUACAGCACACCAGGGUGGGAUUCAGUAUAACCAAAUUCAUUACCUGAAACAAAAACUCAACACUGUUCAGAUAAAACAAUCCAAAGUCUCCGCAACAGAACCUUUACAAUGUCCAGAUUAUAGGCCAAAAUUACGGAAUUUGUCAAGUCAGGAAAAUGUGGCCCAUUUCCAAGGAGAAAGAGAAGCAACAGAUGCCAAUCUUGAGGUGACCUGGAUGCUGGAAUUUUCAGACAAGGCCUUUUAAGCAGCUAUGCUCAGUGGGGUCAAAGAAAAGAUGCUACUAAUUGAUGUAGUAAAAAAAAAAAUUUAUAUAUAUUAUAUAUAUAUAAUUAACAUUAUAUAUAUAUAUAUGUAUGAGUAAAUAUAUAUAUAUAUAUAUAUAUAUA